This 468-nucleotide ribosomal RNA is filed under the name uncultured bacterium. Its description in RNAcentral is "partial 16S ribosomal RNA". It matches the Rfam family "Bacterial small subunit ribosomal RNA", at positions 28 to 507 of the family's 1533-position model. The record is from RNAcentral.
GACGAACGCUGGCGGCGUGCUUAACACAUGCAAGUCGAACGGUGAUGCUCCAGCUUGCUGGAGUGGAUCAGUGGCGAACGGGUGAGUAACACGUGAGCAACCUGCCCCAGACUCUGGAAUAAGCGCUGGAAACGGCGUCUAAUACUGGAUACGAAACUGGCCCGCAUGGGCAUGGUUUGGAAAGUUUUUCGGUUUGGGAUGGGCUCGCGGCCUAUCAGCUUGUUGGUGAGGUAAUGGCUCACAAAGGCGACGACGGGUAGCCGGCCUGAGAGGGCGACCGGCCACACUGGGACUGAGACACGGCCCAGACUCCUACGGGAGGCAGCAGUGGGGAAUAUUGCACAAUGGGCGAAAGCCUGAUGCAGCGACGCCGCGUGAGGGAUGACGGCCUUCGGGUUGUAAACCUCUUUCAGCAGGGAAGAAGCGAAAGUGACGGUACCUGCAGAAGAAGCACCGGCUAACUACGUG